AACCAGCACCUCAAGUGGUCAGGAUGAUUAUUGGGCCUAAAGCAUCCGUAGCCGGCUCUGUAAGUUUUCGGUUAAAUCUGUACGCUUAACGUACAGGCUGCCGGGAAUACUGCAGAGCUAGGGAGUGGGAGAGGUAGACGGUACUCGGUAGGAAGGGGUAAAAUCCUUUGAUCUAUUGAUGACCACCUGUGGCGAAGGCGGUCUACCAGAACACGUCCGACGGUGAGGGAUGAAAGCUGGGGGAGCAAACCGGAUUAGAUACCCGGGUAGUCCCAGCUGUAAACUAUGCAAACUCAGUGAUGCAUUGACUUGUGGUCAAUGCAGUGCUGCAGGGAAGCCGUUAAGUUUGCCGCC
Molecule: ribosomal RNA, 354 nt
Filed under: uncultured Nitrososphaerota archaeon
Lineage: Archaea; Thermoproteati; Nitrososphaerota
Description: bacterial SSU rRNA
Rfam family: Archaeal small subunit ribosomal RNA
Source: RNAcentral